RNAcentral lists this ribosomal RNA (532 nucleotides) under uncultured Lachnospiraceae bacterium. RNAcentral describes it as "partial 16S ribosomal RNA". Lineage: Bacteria; Bacillati; Bacillota; Clostridia; Lachnospirales; Lachnospiraceae. The record is from RNAcentral.
CACGUAGUUAGCCGGGGCUUCUUACUCAGGUACCGUCAUUUAUUCUUCCCUGCUGAUAGAGCUUUACAUAACGAAUUACUUCUUCACUCACGCGGCGUCGCUGCAUCAGGGUUCCCCCCAUUGUGCAAUAUCCCCCACUGCUGCCUCCCGUAGGAGUCUGGGCCGUGUCCCAGUCCCAAUGUGGCCGUCCGCCCUCUCAGGCCGGCUACUGAUCGUCGCUUUGGUAGGCCGUUACCCUGCCAACUGGCUAAUCAGACGCGGGCCCAUCGUAUACCGUCUCGGCUUUUCACACUCCAGUAUGCACUGCUGUGCGCUUAUGCGGUAUUAGCACCUAUUUCUAAGUGUUACUCCCCUGUACUACGGUAGGUUCGCCCACGUCGUUACUCCACCCGUCCGCCACUAAGAUACUACUUUUUCCUUACAGACGAACUUCCUACUACUUACCAAUAUACUUCCCCGUUACGUACUUGCUAUGGUUGGUUAGGCCACCGGCCCGCCAGUCGUUCACUCCUGACGCCAGGACUACAAACUU